UACCUGCUGUCCGUGCAUGCCAUAAUCCGAUGGAUCCUAGCGGAAGUGACCUGGAUUCGAGUCUGCCCCAUGCAGAGAACCCGUGCCUGAUCGUGGAGGACUCCCAGCCCGACAGUGCGGCACUGGAGGACGACCCGGACAGUAGCUACCGCGCCUUGCUCGCCCGCCGCUUGUCCAGCCUGCAGCCCGCCACCUCCCACAGCCCUGUACUGGAGCUGAUCUCCUCUCCAGCAGGAAAUCGAUACUCCGAGACCGACAGCCAAUCAGAGAGGGUCCAGAACAACAAUCACAACGGGCCAGUCAACCAGGAGGAAAGUCAAGUCCUAGAAGUUUGCUCCAAUACAAGGAGGUGUGCUACAGAAGACAUGGCCACGGAGUCUGGGGCGGACUCCACUACACACUGCGCCCAGUCUGAAGGAGGAGUGUCCAAGUUUGAUUGUCUGGAGCUUUCUGAGAGCCAGGGUCUGGGUGAAGUGGUGGGGAACAGUCAGGAGGAGGAGGGCCCUACUGCUGCCCAGACAGACAGCCAGAGACACAACAAGCCAGGUGAACAGAAGAACACAACCAGGGGCUUGCCUUCAGGCAGUCAGGACAGCAAAUCCAAGAGGUCGGAGGUGAGCUCUAGCAGCUCGUCGGAGCCCCUGGGUUGUGCCGGCCGGGAACUGAGUGUCCAGGCUUUGCUCCACUCACAGGGCCUGCAGGCCUCCGAGGACCAGGAUCCCAAAGGGGACGACUCUGAGCUGCUGUCCUCUCAGGAGGACCUUUUCGACACUGACAAGACAGGCACAGGGGUGGACAGCACAAUGUCAGAGCCAGAGAACCAAGGCGUGCCCACCCUGACCCCUGCCCACACCCUGCAUCUGCUGCACCUCUCUGGGCAGGGCACCCUGGUGCAGGAGAGCCUCUCCCAGAACUCUGUUGACUUUGUAGCACCCAGCCAGGAAAAUUUGAGCAAAACACCUUUUAUUGUCCCCAAUUCACCGACAGGACAAGAAAAUGAACUGGGUGCCGACGAACCAAUGGACACCUCUAUGCCUCCGGAGGACCAAUCGGAUGGCAAGGAGGAGGAGCCAAUGGACAUGGACCCAGCUCCUAAGUCACACCCCUCGGCAUCCACCCCAGUAUCCCAGAACUCCCCAGAUUUUGUGUUGGAGAGGACCCUCUCUCUGCCUACCCAGCCGGAGUUCUCUCAUGAUGUAUUUGUCCCAACCCAGAGCCAAGAGGCUGGAAGCAGUAGCAUAGCUCCACAAGAGACGCACAGCAGGGAAGUGACAUCAUCAUCCCAACCCACAGCACUGGAUUCAAGCUCACCCAAGAUGGCUGCUGCACCCGCCCAGUCCAAAGCACCCACAACAACUGACCGAGAACACUCUGUGACUGAUUCUUUCCAACUGGAGCUGUCUGUGAAUACUCCGAGCUGUAGUCUGCCCCAGCAGGCUUCCAUGCAGGCUGGGGGGAAGGAUGUCGAGGAGGACAGUCAGGCUACACAGAUAGAAGGAGGUCUGGACGGACCCCUACGGAUAGACACCAGUGACUCUGUGAUUUCACGUAACAGCCAGAAGAGGGAAAGUAACGGGGUCCCCUCCGACCCAAAAACCCCUGCUAUUUUGCCUAAAGUUCCUCAGGUGCCUGACUUGCUGAAGACUAGUGGGGAAAGUACCAGGAGAGAGGAAUGUAACACUUCACAGAAGUCUGACACGCACAAACAGACAACCUUGGAUGUACGCAACGUGAAUAUAGGCGACGAUGGUAUCAAUGUGACCAAAACAGAUAGUUCUCAGAAGCAGGAUACCAAGGCCUCUUCCCCCUCUCCCUCCUCCCAACAGAAGCUUGAAACCAUAGACGUAUUCACCCCUAGCAGCUGUGUGCAGAAGACGCCUUCUUCCUCGAAUAGCACUCCCUGUAGUUUGGCCUCCCUGUCUCAAUCCCAGUCUGUUUUCUCACAGAUGUCUCACGUGGGGUCAGUGAAGGCUCUCUCGCCGAGUCCUGGUGUUUGUGUAGACUCCAGAAGAGAUGGAGGAGGAAGGAGAGAAGUAGGAGAAGGAGGGGGAGUGGGAAGCCCGACGAGCUCACAGAAAAACCGGGACCCGUCUAAAUCCAUACAGUCUUUAUCGCAGGAGCGUGGAGGCACUGCUACCAACAGCCCAAAGGAGAAAAACAAAGCAGAUGAAGAAGAGGAGGAAGAAGGGAUGGAGGAGGGGGGAGAGAAGCAGCAGGACAGCACGUUGGGGCCCGAGGGCUCAGGCCUCUAUCUGUCUCUCUCUCAGAGCCAGGUGCUUUCUCCAGAGCCUAUGGAGGAAGAAGAGGAAAAGAGAGGGAAGUUCCCUGUCUCGCACUCCAGGAGGGAGGGAGGAGAGGAGGAGAGCUGCAGCAGCAUCAUUGUGCUGGAGGAGAGCGAGAGGAGCUCCCAACUACUGGAGAAGGAAGUGAAGUCGCCGUCGAAGGUGGACACGUCUCAGCCAGUGGCAAGCCGGCGGGGGUCAGUGUCGUCCAAUGGCACAGGGUCACAGCUGAAGGACACCCAGCUGGUACCAAUUGGACUCGCCCAGGCUAAAAAGGAAGGGUCUAGGGAAGCAGAGGGGCUCCGAGACAAGAGCCUCAGUGACAGCUCUGGAGCAGAGAUUCCAUUCCACUUUACUCUCCCCAAAGAAGGCGAGCUGAUUGGCCCUCCUGUGAGUGCCACUCCCCCUCUGAUCAGCCAGUUGAAGCAGACACCGAGACACAGCACUCCGAUUGACAUGACUUCCUUCUCUGACAAGUCCGUGGUGGUGGGUGAUGUUUCCACGGAGACGGCGAUGGCGACCAGCGAAAUCACGGCGGGGGAGAGUGGCGAGGACACGGCCGAAGGGGCUGAUGGGAAACUGAGUUUGCGGAUGAAGCUGGUGACCCCCGUGGAGGAGGGCAGCUCAGAACGCUUCAGCCUGCAGAAGCCACCGCAAUCAGACGAGGAAGGCUCUGUCUCCAAGGUUACCACCGUUGUCAAGGCUGUAACCAGCCCCCUGCACAGCCCCUCUGUGUUCAGCAGGGUGAGGGAGGCCCACAGACAGGUGAUGGAGGACCAGGCCGAGGCCCAUCCCAGUGACCCUGAAACCCCUGUCAGAGGGGAACUGUUCAGCUCACCCUCACAGCAGAAAAGCUCCCAAAAACCCUCCAACCCCUCUCCCUCCCUGGAAUGCAUCAGCCUCCCCAACAGCCAAUCCGAGCCCCUCUCCAGCCCCCGCCAGGAAGUGAAGCAUACGUUGCCAUUGGGGCUCAGAGAGAGAGAGCCUCCUGCUGAACCAUCCACCCCAGGCCGUCCAGCAGUGAAAACACCACAAAAAGGCACCGCAGUUGGUGACAGAGAGCCGUGUGGGCCCCCGGAGCCAUCCACACCCACCAGAGCCGCUGCCAUCAGACAGAGGGCCGUGUCCCAGCAGACAAGCUUUGACAACACCAUCUCUCCCAGUUCACCCAGUAAGCUUUGUCAGAGAGUGGCGUCUCAACAGACCAGUUUUGAAGCGGCUGGCCCCAGGUCUCCAGCAGCCAGCGGCGAGCCAGAGACCCCACCCUCGAGGGCAGCUGCUGGUCCCGCCCAUCGCAGACACGUGCGGACCAUUCAGGAAGUGCGGACGACGGUCACACGCAUCAUCACAGACGUGUACUACGAGGACGGGAGAGAGGUGGACCGUAAGGUCACUGAGGAGUCGGAGGAGCCGGUGGUGGACAGCCGUGUGUUGGACAGCGACAUCUCUCCGUGUCGCACCGGCAGCUCCAUGACCUCCGGUGACCUGGGUGAUGUCAGCUCUCUGUCCUCCAAAGCUUCCAGCCUGCAGCACAGCUCCGGGGGCACCAGCAUAGUCACGGGCCCUGGCCAGAGGGGCCCCGACUUUAUCAUGCCGCCCAGCCGAGGGGCCAAGUCUGCCAGCCCCAGGAGGGGGAGUGGGCCGCAGCAGAGGGCACACAGGGGUCAAACGGCAGGGUCAGAGUUCAUGGGAGAGAGAGUUCAAGGACUCCAUGGGUCACGGGCCUUCACCCCAUUGACGCCCCGCGGAAGAGCCAGGAGGGGCAGACCUCCGUCCCGCUCACCCCUGUCCAGGGGUGCCGGCGUCCCGCGUGCCAAUGCCCGCGGCCAACCCCUGUCCUCCUCCGAGGAUGAGUCCUACACCCGCCUGUGUCCCACCCCGCGCAUCCCAGAGAGCCCAGCGGUCCCCAGCCACUCCUCCACGUCUCUCCUCACCACCACUUCCCAAGAUGAAGUCAGCCCAGCUGGGAGCAGCUUUGUGGGGCUUCGCGUGGUGGCCAAGUGGUCCAGCAACGGCUACUUCUACUCAGGCCGCAUCACCAAGGACCUGGGCGAAGGGCGUUACCGGCUGCUCUUCGAUGACAGCUAUGAGUGCGAGGUCACGGGCAAGGACAUCCUGCUGUGCGACCCCAUCCCCCUGGAUACUGAGGUCACGGCACUGCUGGAGGACGAGUACUUCAGCACAGGUCGAGUGAAGGACUACAAGAAGGAGGGCGAGGAGUUGUUCUACAGUGUGGAGAAGCAGGGCCAGACUACAGCCACUACAGCUGUAGAGAGGGAGGGCCAGACUACAGCCACUACAGCUGUAGAGAGGGAGGGCCAGACUACAGCCACUACAGCUGUAGAGAGGGAGGGCCAGACUACAGCCACUACAGCUGUAGAGAGGGAGGGCCAGACUACAGCCACUACAGCUGUAGAGAGUCAGUGGUACAGCCGCAGUUCUGUCAUCCUGACCAUGGAGCAAGGCAACAGGCUGAGAGAACAGUACGGCCUGGGGCCCUACGAGCCCGCCACACCCCUGGCCAAGGCCUCUGACAUCAGCCUGGAUAACCUGGUGGAGGGGAAGAGGAGACGCAGGGGGAUCACAGGGGGGGCCAGCCCCCUCACCCCUGGCCCCUCUGGGAAGAGGAAGCUGAUCAGCUCUGAGGACAGGGACAGGACUCCGGCUAAGCGAGGCCGCAGAGGGGGAGGGGGAGCCAGAGCCGGUCAGCGGGUUGGUGUGUGUAACACCUCAGGCAGUGGCGCCGACCUGCCCUGGGACCAUAGUGACCUGGCGGAGACUCACGGCCCGCUGCCCCAGAGUGCAUCUCUCUUCCUGGGCUUUGCCUUCAUGCUGACCGCAUCAUCAGAGAGCGACCGCCAGACCAACCAGCCAAUCAGCGAUGGCGAGGAGGGUUGUCCUUUCCCUCCAAUAGAGUAUGUGCAGACGGCCCCCUAUCACAAACGCUACACUGAGACCCAGCUGGAGGCCGGAGCAGGCUUCAUUCUCCACGACUUCAAUGAGGAACAGUGCAAGGCGGCCUAUCAGAGCCUGCUGAUCACCGACCAGCAUAGCCGAACCAGGAAGUACCUGCUGUGUGUGGCCAGUGGUGUGCCGUGUGUGUCUCACAUCUGGGUGAGGGACUGUUGCAAGGAGGGCAAGCUGCUCAACUACAGGAACUACCUGCUGCCCGCCGGAGUGGGCCCUGACGAGCGCAUAGUGGAAUGUGCUUUACAGAUACCCAGCCUAAAACCCCUAAGAGCAAGCAAUGCACAAGCACAGUGGCUAGGAAAAACUUCCUGGAAAGGCAGGAACCUAUGAAGAAACCAGGCUCUGAGGGGUGGCCAGUCCUCUUCUGGAUGUACCAGGUGGAGAUUUUAAAGAGUACUUGUGCCAGAUGUUGAACCGUUCCUAGAUGACCAGCAGGUCAAAACAAAUAACCACGGUGGCUAUAGAGUGCAACACAACAGUCAUGCAUUCAAAGUGAACAAAACACUUCAAGAAUGAAUCUGGUCCUGGUGCUGAGGGAAAUGCAUGUGCUUUUGUUUAUUUUGAUCAGGCAUCCGCGCUGCAGCCCGUUUAAGGCCCUGCGGGUCCUGUUGGUAUUUGAGGAGCCGGCAGAGCUGUGGUCUGAGCUGCUGAUGAUGAGUGGAGCUUCCUCUGUGAGACAGCACCAAGCAGAAAAGGACAGCUCUGACAUUCCUGUGGGCAAGUUUGACGUGGUGGUCACAGACCGCACCUGUCCGCCACUGGUUCUGAAGAGUGUGACAUCACAGGAAGUACCCAUGGUGUCGCCCGAGUGGCUAAUCCACAGUCUGAUCUGUGGGGAGCGCCUGGGAUACCAUAGCAACCCCCAAUAUCGUCAUGACUACACAUCCCCACCCUCAUCCUAAUCCGAGCCUCCCUUCGCACACAAAGGUUUAUUGUCUGUAGAAGAUGCCCUUAUCCUCAGAUCUGGGAUCAGUUUCCCAACUCGCAAUCAUGA
Salmo salar (Atlantic salmon) is the source of this 6246-nucleotide RNA transcript. It is a transcript of the gene named TP53-binding protein 1-like, with no coding region annotated. The record is from RefSeq and is a predicted model, not a curated record. Lineage: Eukaryota; Metazoa; Chordata; Actinopteri; Salmoniformes; Salmonidae.